UUUGCUUCAUGGUACACUAUGCUAACAGAAGCUACAGUACAGGGAACAAGUUGGACUAUAUUCUAACUGCUCAACAAGGAAUUGGUGAGCGUUAAAAUGUGUGCAGCAAUUAUGUGGCUCUGCUAGCAUACAUGCUAAUAUGACCACAAGUGAGUGAGUGAUGAUUGCUGACAUCCUGUGGUGAGAAGACGCUUUAAGUUGUUGAACAUCGAAACUAUACGUUUACUCCUGGAGGAGGUUUUAUCUCAGAGAAGAAAAAGCUGAAGAGGAGUCGUGAACCUGAUAAUCACCCGCACGGAUCAACAAGCAUUUCUACACAGAGAGUUGUUGGAGAGAGAUCCGAGAGGCAGCCAGGAGGACGAUGUGCCAGCAGGCUUUUCACCCCACCUUCAAAUGUGCAGAUUGCAGAAGUGGACAACAAGUCACAUUAUAUUAAAAGCCUUUGAUACAGUCGACCAUGCUUCACUUUUACAAUGAUGAUCCUCUGUCUGUGAUUUGGUCAAGAACUAUUUAUCAGACCGACAGUCUGUGAAAGUCAGGAAAUUUGAAUUCUUGCAGGUUACUAAAGGCUGACUAUGUCAAAAGGUGUUUGUAACUGUCUGAAUGUCCACACUGGAAGGAGGUGUGAAAGCCUGCUGUGAUAGAGACUGUCUACAUUCUGGAAGACAUUCAUGGUGUUGCACUGACAGAGAAGUCCAAACCUUGUCUACUUUCACAUCUUCAUACACGACCAGUCUCCUGGCGUUAUUGUCGCAUUGUCUGUUUCUAAAAGUUACAAAAAUGUUCAAUUCCACCAUCAGAAGGGGGGGUUUCAGAUGUUUAAUGAUCCGACAAAUACUUCGUUCAAGCAGCAAGACACCAUAAGGGUGUGCCACAGGGAUGGAAAUGGGGCCCUCUUCUGUUUUAUUUUGUCUUUUCCAGGUGUACUUGUCAAAUUCAUCUUUAUGCAGAUGAUACUCUUGUUUAGCCUAAUAAUCAGGCUAGUUUGUAAUUUCAUUUUCCUACAUUCUUCAGUGUGGCAUUGGAUUCACAUAAGAUAUUUCCAACAGAGUUAAAUUGGGAACAGUUCCAUGACUUCCACUUGAGUUACAAGUUAAGAUGUUUUCCUUAAACACAUGAUGGAUGGCUUUCAGACAGUGUAGUCGCAGGUGAAUCUCUCUGUUUACUUCUAGUUCCGAGUCAUAAUUUGCAUAAACGAUGAUGUUGGAAAAGUAAAUCUUAGACUCGUUUGGUUUCUGCCCGUUAGCUUUCAUAUCACACAUGUUUAAAGGAGGUGAAGCUUGAGUUUGGACACUGUGUACAAGCCUGAAAUGGAUUAUUGGAUACUGCAGUCAGUCAGGACAACUGCCUCAUCGACUUGAUAUGUUGUUUUUG
Long non-coding RNA from Micropterus salmoides (largemouth bass), 1374 nucleotides. RefSeq lists it as uncharacterized. The record is from RefSeq and is a predicted model, not a curated record. NCBI's taxonomy places the organism in Eukaryota, Metazoa, Chordata, Actinopteri, Centrarchiformes, Centrarchidae. The transcript has 3 exons.